GUUUGAUCCUGGCUCAGGAUGAACGCUGGCGGCGUGCCUAACACAUGCAAGUCGAACGUCCUGUCUCGCAAGAGGCAGGGAGUGGCGGACGGGUGAGUACCACGUGGGUUAUCUACCGUGAGGUGAGGAAUACCGGCGAGAAAUCGCCGACGAGACCGCAUACCCUCGGUGCACGCCGAGGAAAGCUUUCUCGAGAGAGGGAGCGCCACACGAGGAGCCUGCGCCCGAUUAGCUAGCUGGUGGAGUAACGGUUCACCAUGAGCGACUAUCGGUAGCUGGUCUGAGAGGACGAUCAGCCACGCUGGGAUUGAGAACGGCCCAUACUCCUACGGGGGGCAGCAGUGAGGAAUUUUCGUCAAUGGGGGCAACCCUGAACGAGCAACGCCACGUGCAGGAAGAACGUUUUCGGAUCGUAAACUGCUUUUCUCGGGGAAGAGAACGGACGGUACCCGAGGAAUCAGCCCCGGCUAACUACGUGCCGGCAGCCGCGGUAAUACGUAGGGGGCAAGCGUUGUCCGGAGUUACUGGGCGUAAAGCGCACGCAUGCGGUUCUUUCAGUUCCUGGUGACAGUCGUCGGCUUCACUGACUAACGAGUGGGAAGACGGGACAACUUGAUGGCUUCACAGGGACACCGAAUUCCGGGUGGAGUGGUGAAAUGCGUAGAUAU
This 668-nucleotide ribosomal RNA is filed under the name uncultured bacterium. Its description in RNAcentral is "bacterial SSU rRNA". It matches the Rfam family "Bacterial small subunit ribosomal RNA", at positions 11 to 697 of the family's 1533-position model. The record is from RNAcentral.